RNAcentral lists this ribosomal RNA (156 nucleotides) under Aquilegia coerulea. RNAcentral's name for it is "5.8S ribosomal RNA". It matches the Rfam family "5.8S ribosomal RNA". Rfam says of the family: 5.8S ribosomal RNA (5.8S rRNA) is a component of the large subunit of the eukaryotic ribosome. RNAcentral also lists the same sequence under 6 other names. Lineage: Eukaryota; Viridiplantae; Streptophyta; Magnoliopsida; Ranunculales; Ranunculaceae. The record is from Rfam by way of RNAcentral.
GACUCUCGGCAACGGAUAUCUCGGCUCUUGCAUCGAUGAAGAACGUAGCGAAAUGCGAUACUUGGUGUGAAUUGCAGAAUCCCGUGAACCAUCGAGUCUUUGAACGCAAGUUGCGCCCUAGGCCUUCUGGUCGAGGGCACGUCUGCCUGGGCGUCA